GCCGGGGUGGCGGAAUUGGUAGACGCAGCGGAUUCAAAAUCCGCCGCUGGUAACAGUGUGCGAGUUCGAGUCUCGCCCUCGGCACUA
This 87-nucleotide transfer RNA is filed under the name Thiothrix sp. RNAcentral describes it as "tRNA-Leu". It matches the Rfam family "tRNA". From Rfam's summary of the family: Transfer RNA (tRNA) molecules are approximately 80 nucleotides in length. Their secondary structure includes four short double-helical elements and three loops (D, anti-codon, and T loops). The record is from RNAcentral. Lineage: Bacteria; Pseudomonadati; Pseudomonadota; Gammaproteobacteria; Thiotrichales; Thiotrichaceae.